Molecule: transfer RNA, 73 nt
Filed under: Ilumatobacteraceae bacterium
Lineage: Bacteria; Bacillati; Actinomycetota; Acidimicrobiia; Acidimicrobiales; Ilumatobacteraceae
Also listed under: 1 other name
Description: tRNA-Thr
Rfam family: tRNA
About the family: Transfer RNA (tRNA) molecules are approximately 80 nucleotides in length.
Source: RNAcentral
GCCGGGUUAGCUCAGUUGGUAGAGCACUUGAUUUGUAAUCAUGUGGUCGUGGGUUCGAUUCCCACACCCGGCU